ACUUCCCCAGAUUUUCCGUCGUAGUGUCCGAAUGGACAGGGAACCUUGACAGAGUGAUAGCUUCCAAGCUAUCCGCGCAGUAAAGCUACACCUGGGUGCGCCAGAUGUCUCGU
Molecule: small RNA, 113 nt
Organism: Paenibacillus yonginensis
Lineage: Bacteria; Bacillati; Bacillota; Bacilli; Caryophanales; Paenibacillaceae
Rfam family: EGFOA RNA
Source: Rfam